RNAcentral lists this ribosomal RNA (447 nucleotides) under uncultured bacterium. Its description in RNAcentral is "partial 16S ribosomal RNA". It matches the Rfam family "Bacterial small subunit ribosomal RNA", at positions 29 to 507 of the family's 1533-position model. The record is from RNAcentral.
AACGAACGCUAUCGGUAUGCUUAACACAUGCGAGUCGGACGGACUAAUUAGGGCUUGCUCCACUUAGUUAGUGGCAGACGGGUGAGUAACACAUGGGAAUCUGCCCAUCAGUACGGAAUAACUUUUAGAAAUAAAAGCUAAUACCGUAUAUUCUCUACAGAGGAAAGAUUUAUCGCUGAUGGAUGAGCCCGCGUCAGAUUAGGUAGUUGGUGAGGUAACGGCUCACCAAGCUGACGAUCUGUAGCUGGUCUGAGAGGAUGAUCAGCCACACUGGGACUGAGACACGGCCCAGACUCCUACGGGAGGCAGCAGUGGGGAAUAUUGGACAAUGGGCGAAAGCCUGAUCCAGCAAUACCGAGUGAGUGAUAAAGGCCCUAGGGUUGUAAAGCUCUUUUAGCAAGGAAGAUAAUGACGUUACUUGCAGAAAAAGCCCCGGCUAACUCCGUG